This 253-nucleotide ribosomal RNA is filed under the name uncultured bacterium. Its description in RNAcentral is "partial 16S ribosomal RNA". It matches the Rfam family "Bacterial small subunit ribosomal RNA", at positions 524 to 776 of the family's 1533-position model. The record is from RNAcentral.
UACAGAGGUCUCAAGCGUUGUUCGGAUUCAUUGGGCGUAAAGGGUGCGUAGGUGGCGGGGUAAGUCUGGUGUGAAAUCUCGGGGCUCAACCCCGAAACUGCACUGGAUACUGCCUUGCUUGAGUACUGGAGAGGAGAUUGGAAUUUACGGUGUAGCAGUGAAAUGCGUAGAUAUCGUAAGAAAGACCAGUGGCGAAGGCGAAUCUCUGGACAGUUACUGACACUGAGGCACGAAGGCCAGGGGAGCAAACGGG